Molecule: microRNA precursor, 136 nt
Filed under: Hordeum vulgare
Lineage: Eukaryota; Viridiplantae; Streptophyta; Magnoliopsida; Poales; Poaceae
Description: microRNA MIR1122
Rfam family: MIR1120/MIR1122 microRNA precursor family
Source: RNAcentral
UAUAUACUCUCUUCGUUCCAAAAUUCUUAUCUUAGAUUUGUCUAAAUAUAAAUGUAUCUAGUCAUGUUUUAGUAUUUAGGUACAUUCAUUUUUAGACAAACCUAAGACAAAAAAUUUGGGACGGAGGGAGUAUCUU